RNAcentral lists this ribosomal RNA (351 nucleotides) under uncultured bacterium. Its description in RNAcentral is "bacterial SSU rRNA". It matches the Rfam family "Bacterial small subunit ribosomal RNA", at positions 8 to 351 of the family's 1533-position model. The record is from RNAcentral.
AGAGUUUGAUCCUGGCUCAGGAUGAACGCUAGCUACAGGCUUAACACAUGCAAGUCGAGGGGAAACGACAUCGAAAGCUUGCUUUUGAUGGGCGUCGACCGGCGCACGGGUGAGUAACGCGUAUCCAACCUGCCCAUCACUUGGGGAUAACCUUGCGAAAGUAAGACUAAUACCCAAUGAUAUCUCUAGAAGGCAUCUGAAAGAGAUUAAAGAUUUAUCGGUGAUGGAUGGGGAUGCGUCUGAUUAGCUUGUUGGCGGGGUAACGGCCACCAGGCUACGAUCAGUAGGGGUUCUGAGAGGAAGGUCCCCCACAUUGGAACUGAGACACGGUCCAACUCCUACGGGAGGCCA